Molecule: long non-coding RNA, 196 nt
Organism: Stomoxys calcitrans (stable fly)
Lineage: Eukaryota; Metazoa; Arthropoda; Insecta; Diptera; Muscidae
Exons: 2
Source: RefSeq, a predicted model, not a curated record
GCGAAAUUGAAAAAUUCAUUUCACUUGUUUCUACAUGUUAGUUUUUAGGCAAUUUUGCAAGCAUACAAGUACAUGAACGAGCACAUAUAGCAUUUUUAGCGUAUAUAAAUGAAUGAUGACUGCGAGACUAAAUUGCCUUCUGGAUAGAUCAACGGAACGGACUGUACAGCGUCUUAUAUAUGAAUAACUCCUUCAA